GCAAGUCGAACGGUAACAGGCUAGCUUGCUAGCGCUGACGAGCGGCGGACGGGUGAGUAAUGCUUGGGAACAUGCCUUUAGGUGGGGGACAACAGUUGGAAACGACUGCUAAUACCGCAUAACGUCUACGGACCAAAGAGGGCUUCGGCUCUCGCCUAAAGAUUGGCCCAAGUGGGAUUAGCUAGUUGGUGAGGUAAUGGCUCACCAAGGCAACGAUCCCUAGCUGGUUUGAGAGGAUGAUC
This 242-nucleotide ribosomal RNA is filed under the name uncultured bacterium. Its description in RNAcentral is "partial 16S ribosomal RNA". It matches the Rfam family "Bacterial small subunit ribosomal RNA", at positions 57 to 305 of the family's 1533-position model. The record is from RNAcentral.